AGGUGCCGGCCAUCCCGCGGCCCUCCCUGGCGGUUAAGUCCGACGCCCGCGACCCCUAGCAAACCCUAACGCCCAUCCCCCUCGUCUCCCUCUCCGCCUCUCGAUUUCGUCCGCACCCGAGACCACAGUUGCCGCUGCCUUCUCGAUCCCGUGGCCAUCGGCCUCACCUCGUCGUGCCAAGAUGUCCAUGAGCUCCUCCAUCGUCUUCUCCUUCGACCUCGCCUAAGGGCUCAAGCUUGGAGGGCUGGUACGCUCGGCAUCGCGCUCAUCUUCGUCGGUACAUCGCCGGUGUCCGACGUCGUUUGCCGCGGCUCCGGUCAACCUCCGGCCUCCCCGACCACAUCUUCGAGCUCACGGUGAGCUCCUCCUCCGCCCCCCCCCCCCUCCCCCCAUUCCCGGCUUCGAUCCGUGCCCCCGCGCAUCCUUGCUCGCCGAGGCCGAAGCUUCACGUUCAUGUCACCUGUGUGUACUGAUGUAGUUGCAGCCUCGCGCGCCUCUGCGCGGUGCUCCCGUGCCACACAUCCGCCCGCGCCCUGCCUCCUUGAAGCCGUGCCCCGCGCACCACUCCAGUCGCGCCCCUGCUUGCAUUGGUCGUGCCCUCUGGAUACGACCGCCUGCGCAUGGCAGCGUGCCCCUGGCCUCGCCUCCGUGUCCCGCGGCGCGCCCGUAGCCUCCCUUGCCCGCGCUCGCCCGCAGCCGCUGCUGCCCGCUGUUGCUGGCCACUGCUACUUUUGCUGCUGCUCAGCCGCCGCUACUGCUGAAUUCCGCCAUCGCCUACUGAUGUUGUUGCGUUGCCGCUGCUGCUUUGUUAUCCUGCUACCGCUGCUUGUUACUGCUGCCACUGCUUGUUACUGCUGCCGCGAUCGGUCGAACUCAUCGCUGCUGCCGCGACCGGCCAAACUCGCUGUUGCUUAUCGGCCCACGGCCGUCUGUGCACGCUCGUCGGGAUGGGCUUCGUCCAUGGCCGACUAGGCAUGCUAUCACACGAGCAUCCAAUGCUCACGGACAUGCCAUGCGCGCUCCUGUGUGUUCCUGAGCCAACCAAGCUUUGGAUUAGUGCUAGGAUUUCUUUAGUGUUAGGGUAGGAUUAGAUUUGGUAUUUUAAUUACUUAAUUAGCUAGCUGUGCGGCUGACACGUGGGCCCUCCUUUUUAAUUAAAUGUUAAAUAAGAUUAAAAGGUUCUGUGUGUAUGACAAGCAGGGCCAUAGUCACUGUUCAUCGGUUGACCAGUCAAAAUAUUGACCGGGUCAACCCAGCCCCUGACCCCACAUGUCAUGCACAUUCACAUAUUGCUGGUUACACUCCUGUGUACCUAUAGCAAUUUGUCUAUUUCUAAUUUCGAAUUAAAAUAAAUCCAGAAAUCUAGAAAAAAUUUAAAUCUUUGAAAAUUCAUAUAGAAUAAUCUAUAAGUCAGAUGAAAAAACUUUGUACAUGAAAGUUGCUCAGAACGACAAGGCGAAUCCGAAUACGUUGCCCGUUCGUCCGCCACACAUCCCUAGCUUAACGAACACGCAACUAUCCCCCUCCGGUCUGUCUGUUCGAAAACGUGAAACACCGGGAAUACUUUCCUGGAUGUUUCCCCCAUUUGCCGGUAGCACCUAGUACUGCGUUAGGUCACCCCUAGCACCGUGUAUUGCCAUGUUAUGCUUUGGUAUGCUUUGAUUGCUUCUGUUAUUUAUUGUGUUCCCCCUUCGUAACUUCUUCUCGGUAAACCCUGUGACCGCGGUUGAACCAGUGAUUGACUACUUCGCCUUCGAGGGUCCGUGUCUGUCUGCAGAGCAACCAGGGAAGCCUCCCCCCUUGAUCACCAGAUAUCGCUUAUUCCUUUUCUCUACUGCUUGCAUUAGAGUAGUGUAGCAUGUUACUGUUUUCGGUUAAUCCUAUCCUGCUGCAUGGCCUGUCAUUGUUGCUACAGUUGUUACCCUUACCUGAAAUCCUAAAUGCUUAGUAUAGGAUGCUAGUAUUCCAUCAGUGGCCCUACAUUCUUGUUCGUCUGCCAUGCUAUACUAUCGGGCCGUGAUCGCUCGGGAGGUGAUCACGGGUAUAUACAUACUACACUUUUAUAUAUGAUACAUGUGGUGACUAAAGUCGGGUCAGCUCGUAGAGUACCCGCAAGUGAUUCCGAUGUGGGGGGCUGAAAGGACAAGUGGCUCCAUCCAGGUAGUGGUGGGCCUAAUUUCCCGACGGCCCCCAGUUGUUACUUUGUGGCGGAGCGACAGGGCAAGUUGAGACCACCUAGGAAAGAGGUGGGCCUGACCCUGGUCGGCGUCCGCGGUUAUUUCAAUUAACACGCUUAACGAGAUCUUCGUAUUUGAUCUAAGUCUGGCCAAUGGCCUAUACGCACUAACCAACUACGCGGGAACAGUUAUGGGCACUCGACGCCGUGGUAUCAGCCGAAGCCUUCUUGACGUCAACGACUGAGCAGCGCGCGCCGGAUUGGACUGUAAUCCUGCUCUUUUAUUAAGGGGGCUGGGUCUGCUUCCGGCCGCCCACGCAACAUGCAGGUGUGCAAUGGGCGAUGGGACCCGACCCCUGCGCCAUAGGAUUUAGACUAGCGUGCUGACCUCUCUGUUGUGCCUAGGUGGGGCUGCGACAUGUUGAUCUUCCGAGGCCAGGCAUGACCUAGGAAAGUGUGUCCGGUCAAAGGGGAUCUAGCGUGUUGGGAAAUUUGGUGCACCCCUGCAGGGAAGUUUAUCUAUUCGAAUAGCAGUGUCCCUCGGUAAAAGGACGACCCGGAGUUGUACCUCGACCUUAUGAUAACUAGAACCGGAUACUUAAUAAGACACACCCUUUCAAGUGCCAGAUACAACCCGAUGAUUGCUCUCUCACAGGGCUACGAGGAGCGGGUUGUGGGGUAGGAUUAUGCUAUGCGAUGCUAAUUGGUGAACUUACCAUCUACUCUCUCCUAUAUGCUUCAAGAUGGAGGCUGUCAGAAGCGUAGUCUUCGAUAGGACUAGCUAUCCCCCUUUUGUUCUGGCAUUCUACAGUUCAGUCCACAGAUACUACCCAUUUCAUUGAUAUCAAUGCAUAUGUAGUGUAGAUCCUUGCUUGCGAGUACUUUGGAUGAGUACUCACGGUUGCUUUCCUACUUCUUUUCCCCUUUUCCCGGUCACUGCGAUCAUAUGAUGGAUUCCAGGAGCCAGAGUAUCCCGGGGAUGAUUCUACGUGGAGUUCGACUUGGAGGAGUAGUUAGGAGGUCCCAGGCAGGAGGCCUUUCCUUUUCGAUCGUUGCUACUUUUGUGCUAGCCUUCUUAAGUCAAACUUGUUUAACCUAUGUAUGUACUUAGAUAUUGUUGCUUCUGCUGCCUCUUGUGUCUUCGAGCAUUUGUAUUCAAGCCUUCGAGGCCCCUGGCUUGUAAUAUAAAGCUUGUAUUAUUUUAAUUUUUGUCUAGAGUUGUGUUGUGAUAUCU
Molecule: long non-coding RNA, 3410 nt
Filed under: Triticum aestivum (bread wheat)
Lineage: Eukaryota; Viridiplantae; Streptophyta; Magnoliopsida; Poales; Poaceae
Description: long non-coding RNA (TAES_LNC014494)
Source: RNAcentral